CAGUAGCCGCGGGAAUACGAAGGGGGCUAGCGUUGUUCGGAUUUACUGGGCGUAAAGCGCACGUAGGCGGAUCGAUCAGUCAGGGGUGAAAUCCCAGAGCUCAACUCUGGAACUGCCUUUGAUACUGUCGAUCUGGAGUAUGGAAGAGGUGAGUGGAAUUCCGAGUGUAGAGGUGAAAUUCGUAGAUAUUCGGAGGAACACCAGUGGCGAAGGCGGCUCACUGGUCCAUUACUGACGCUCAUGCACGAAAGCGUGGGGAGCAAACAGGAUUAGAUACCCCUGUAGUCCCUGUCUCUUAUAC
This 301-nucleotide ribosomal RNA is filed under the name uncultured bacterium. RNAcentral's name for it is "partial 16S ribosomal RNA". It matches the Rfam family "Bacterial small subunit ribosomal RNA", at positions 509 to 807 of the family's 1533-position model. The record is from RNAcentral.